GCCCCUGUGGUGUAGCCUGGACAACACGUGGGACUGCGGAUCCCAUUCCCCGGGUUCAAAUCCCGGCGGGGGCA
RNAcentral lists this transfer RNA (74 nucleotides) under Methanobrevibacter sp. RNAcentral describes it as "tRNA-Arg". It matches the Rfam family "tRNA". From Rfam's summary of the family: Transfer RNA (tRNA) molecules are approximately 80 nucleotides in length. Lineage: Archaea; Methanobacteriati; Methanobacteriota; Methanobacteria; Methanobacteriales; Methanobacteriaceae. RNAcentral also lists the same sequence under 1 other name. The record is from RNAcentral.